AAAGUGCAGAUUUACCUACUCUAAGAGAUCUAUCUAAAGCAUCAAACAAUUUCAUGAAUUAUUAAGGUCGAAAUCUGACCUUCUUUGAAGCACAGGUGUUGAAUCGCGCGUUUUAAGCCUUGAAAUGUGAAAACAGAACUUCUAUGAUGCUUGGAUAGAUGAAUGGAACAAGGUUUGUUGCUCAAUUACGCACGAUCUUGAUGAAAUCUCCAUUUGCCAUUGUUGCACCUCACUUUAACAGUCCACGAUUUGGCUUGAUA
RNAcentral lists this long non-coding RNA (260 nucleotides) under Lathyrus oleraceus (garden pea). Its description in RNAcentral is "Pisum sativum (pea) long non-coding RNA (PSAT_LNC017374)". The record is from RNAcentral. Lineage: Eukaryota; Viridiplantae; Streptophyta; Magnoliopsida; Fabales; Fabaceae.